AAACCAGUAACUUAGUAACCGUGGAAUGCCCCGGAACUCAGGAACCAAGCGCCUGGGCGGGCAGAAUGACAUCUGGGAACGACUGGAGGGGAGGACUGGCUCUCCCCACAGAACCCAGCCCCGUUGCUACACCCCUGUGACACCUUUCAGGGCCUGGGACUCAGCCCAUUCUCGCCUGCCAAGCCACCAGAAGGGCAGGAUAAGGAAUUCAUGGACCCUCCUUCUGCACCAGGUAAACUGCUCAGCACUUCAGCACUGGAGAAGCAAGAUGAUGGAGAAAGACAGGGUGCUUCCUCUCAUGAAAUCAUAUCCUGAUGGAAGGAGGUGUAUUAUUAACCCAGAUAGCCAGAAGUGGUGAUUACAGAUGGACCAAAGAGCUGCCGCAAAGCACCUGAUUAUACAACUCAUAUUUCUGAGCUGGGUGUGGUGGCACACACCUGUAACACCCCCAGCACUCAGGAGGCUGAGGCAGGAGGAUCUCAAGUUCCAGGGUUGGAGAUUUUCCCAGAAGAAUAGGAAAGUUUGGUGGCCCCAACACUCAGUAACACUGGAGGGUAGCGUGGCCUCUGGCCCUGCUCACUUCUUCCUGUGCGCUGUGGAGCUUGAUGUGGUUCCUCCUGGGCUAUUCACCCAUGACUAUGUCGCCUGUCCUAACGGUAGCAGAGGACCAGCCUCAGCUCGGGGAACCGCACCCCCCCAUCUAAUCACACUCAGGAUUAGAACCCCAUCCUCAGCCACACCCCGCCUUCCUUCUGUGCACAGCCCUGGCUCCAAAUUCCCUCUGCAGACUCGGCAGACUCACUCCUCAUCACUGAGCGUCCAUAUCCACCCUAGCCCUCACAGGGCACCCUCACAGGGCUGGAGCACCCAUUACCUGCCCCCACCCCACCUCCCCACUCUCAUUCUCUCUCCCUGAGCUUUAGAAGGCUUGUUUAUUUUCUUUUUGGGUCAGCAUGAAAAUUUCAGGGCACUCAGACCACAGUCCUUACUUGAAUCAAGCUGAGCUCUCCAAAGCAUCAGGCUUUGUUUUCUUUCUAAAACAAACUCCGAUCUUAUCUAGAUAUUAGGCUUAUCUUGGCAAGUCACUACACUGCAUUAGACUUUUUUUUCUCCUCUCUCUCUCUCUCCCUGAAAUGUGAUAUUAUGAAGAGACCUCGACCUGGGGCUGCCUAUGGCUUAUCUGGGGAAUAGAAGGGGUGGGCAAAGAGCUGACUCCAGGCUGACAGCCACACUAUGCCAGGCUUGAGGGAAGAGGGCCUGGAAGACCUUCGAUUCCUCCUUGUCAGCCUCUCUGAAGGUCUCACCAUUGCUCCCACCUCUCCAGCCCUGCCUUCGCCACAUACUCAAUGCAGUAGCCUCUGAGUAGUCAAGCUUUUCCUGUGUUCUUCUCGUUCCUUUUCAUUUCCCAUAGAGAGGCCAAGAGUAUAUGAAGGGCUGUGCCACUUGGUUCCAAUGGGUUAGAAAUAGAAAUAUACUUCUUAAAUCAGUACUUCAUCCACCUUCUACAGUAGGUCCGGCUACAGACCCCUGUGAUGUGCACAUACUAACAAACAAACAAACAACUACAACAA
Molecule: RNA transcript, 1571 nt
Organism: Mastomys coucha (southern multimammate mouse)
Lineage: Eukaryota; Metazoa; Chordata; Mammalia; Rodentia; Muridae
Exons: 3
Source: RefSeq, a predicted model, not a curated record